UACGAAGGGGGCUAGCGUUUGCUCGGGAAUCAAGCUGGGCGUAAAGGGUGCGUAGGCGGGUUUUAAGUCAGAGGUGAAAUCCUGGAGCUCAACUCAGACUGCCUUUGAUACUGAAAGUCUUGAGUAUGGGAGAGGUGAGUGGAAACUGCGAGUGUAGAGGUGAAAUUCGUAGAUAUUCGCAAGAACACCAGUGGCGAAGGCGGCUCACUGGCCCAUUACUGACGCUG
This 227-nucleotide ribosomal RNA is filed under the name uncultured bacterium. RNAcentral's name for it is "partial 16S ribosomal RNA". It matches the Rfam family "Bacterial small subunit ribosomal RNA", at positions 524 to 748 of the family's 1533-position model. The record is from RNAcentral.